AGUGAACGCUGGCGGUAGGCCUAAUACAUGCAAGUCGAACGGCAGCACAGUAAGAGCUUGCUCUUACGGGUGGCGAGUGGCGGACGGGUGAGGAAUACAUCGGAAUCUACUUUUUCGUGGGGGAUAACGUAGGGAAACUUACGCUAAUACCGCAUACGACCUACGGGUGAAAGCAGGGGAUCUUCGGACCUUGCGCGAUUGAAUGAGCCGAUGUCGGAUUAGCUAGUUGGCGGGGUAAAGGCCCACCAAGGCGACGAUCCGUAGCUGGUCUGAGAGGAUGAUCAGCCACACUGGAACUGAGACACGGUCCAGACUCCUACGGGAGGCAGCAGUGGGGAAUAUUGGACAAUGGGCGCAAGCCUGAUCCAGCCAUACCGCGUGGGUGAAGAAGGCCUUCGGGUUGUAAAGCCCUUUUGUUGGGAAAGAAAAGCAGCAGGUUAAUACCCCGCUGUUCUGACGGUACCCAAAGAAUAAGCACCGGCCAACUUCGUG
This 492-nucleotide ribosomal RNA is filed under the name uncultured bacterium. Its description in RNAcentral is "partial 16S ribosomal RNA". It matches the Rfam family "Bacterial small subunit ribosomal RNA", at positions 29 to 507 of the family's 1533-position model. The record is from RNAcentral.